GGGGCUGUGGGGUAGCUUGGUUAUCCUUCGAGGUUUGGGACCUUGUGACCCCGGUUCGAAUCCGGGCAGCCCCA
Molecule: transfer RNA, 74 nt
Filed under: Candidatus Woesearchaeota archaeon
Lineage: Archaea; Nanobdellati; Candidatus Woesearchaeota
Also listed under: 2 other names
Description: tRNA-Pro
Rfam family: tRNA
About the family: Transfer RNA (tRNA) molecules are approximately 80 nucleotides in length.
Source: RNAcentral